RNAcentral lists this ribosomal RNA (253 nucleotides) under uncultured bacterium. RNAcentral describes it as "partial 16S ribosomal RNA". It matches the Rfam family "Bacterial small subunit ribosomal RNA", at positions 524 to 776 of the family's 1533-position model. The record is from RNAcentral.
UACAGAGGUCCCAAGCGUUGUUCGGAUUUACUGGGCGUAAAGCGUGCGCAGGCGGCUUUCUAAGCCAGAUGUGAAAGCCCCGGGCUCAACCUGGGAAUGGCAUUUGGGACUGCAAGGCUUGAGUGCGGCAGAGGAGACUGGAAUUCCUGGUGUAGCAGUGAAAUGCGUAGAUAUCUGGAGGAACACCGGUGGCGAAGGCGACGUCCUGGACCGGCAUUGACGCUGAGGCGCGAAAGCCAGGGGAGCAAACGGG